GCACUCACGGCGAACCGAUUGGGUGCCUCGCGAAUACCGAACAUCUCGUACGUGAAGGAUGAACGAAGCAGCAUCUCGUUAAGAAAUCGCUGCCAGAUAUACAACCGCUAAGCACCUUCGGUUGAGUUACUUUGAAAGCGUUCAAGAAUUCGAUCAGCGACAGAUCACCGACACGCGUGACAAGGAGUUGAAUAUCCUGUUCUGUUACCGUCUACGCGCGACGGAGAAACGUCGGCGCGCAGCCGAGAGACUCGGCGAACUCGAGCCAUCCUCACCUCCUUUCUUCACCCUUCUACGCCACUAGCUGGAUGUGAGUUACCGCGCUACGGAAUGGACUCGUCGAAUUAUUUUCGUUGAAUGCCACCGCGGUAUCGGUUUCGCGAUCGCGGUACUGCCAGAGGGAUGAUAUUAAAAUUGAAAUGGGCUCGAACGAUGCCUCGAUUCUUUGGAAAGGGGCUUUAAAUAAAGGACUUUGCUGCCAACUUUCUUCCGCGUGGAUACGCCGCGCGCGGCUUUCUUUGCCUUUCAACGCACGACAUUGACCAUCCCUGUGUCUCUUGAAAAAUUCAACGAAUCCAGCGGAACGAUCCUGGCUCACGGUUAAUUGGCCUCCGACACUCCAUUUCGCAAAUUGCAAAAAGCAAUGCCAGGAUACUGUUGUACGUAGGUGCUGGCGUCGAGUGGCUGCAGCUUGUUACUGGAAAAUCGCUGGGACGGACGAAAGGAAUUCGAACGAUGGACGCGCUUACGCGUGUGACCAAGUGCAUCGUGCAGGGAAUCAGAAAUUAAGUCUGCUGGCAUGGCUGAUGUUGAACAAUUGUUAGUUUCGUUGGAAACACGGAAUUCUCUGUUUUCAUCUCUUCCGAACAACUUCCUGACAAAGUGGCUCGUUCCCAAGUGGAACGCAGUCGACGGCAACGAGUCCGAAAACACGAGGCAAACGUUGUGUCUGGCGAGCGGAAGGCACGCGUCUCCUUCGGCUUCGUAAUCUAAGCGGAGAGCGAACAGUGCCUAAUUCUCGUCCAAUUUCCAGCGUCGGGAAACCGGUUAACGGCACGACGCAACUCGUAGUAUUCGCUGAAACGAGUUUCGAUAAAGUUAACGCCGACCAGUACCGACGACACUCUGCUCAGACGUUUAGAUAAGUUAACUGUCGCUACGAAUACACGAAUAUCCAUGUAUUAACAUAGAUGUAACAGUGUAUUCGUUUUUCAGCUCCCUUGCACGAUUGAGCUAAUAUCAUUAGAGGAAUUUUAUUGGUUCGAAGUAUUAGCGAAUGCUGUCGUAUGAUGCUAAUAAUAGAUUCUUUUAUUUUUACUAUGCGAAACAUAGCGUUCUGUAUAUAUUAUGUUAUGCAAUUUAAUUCAAUAGAGAUAUAUUAAUAUAUAGAUGCGUUAUUGGUUGAAAAUGUGAAAAUACUAAAUUGUAAAUAGCUUUUGAAAAUAUCAUAUUGAGUAUAAAUUAGUUGGAAUAAAAUGUUCAAUGGAAUUUAUUACGCAAAGGGAAUCGAUAUCAUUUUCUUAAUUAUCGACUAAUCAGCAAGUUUGUUCCUUAUAUUAUUAAUUUAAAGUCAAGUAAAAAUAUUAAGGUUAUAUCUAUCGAUCAAUCACUCUGUUACGAUCGUUCGUAAAAUGCACCAAUAAUGUGAAUUAUUUAACUUGUAACUCGUAAAAUUGUACAAUUAUUUGCACAUCAGAAUUCUAUAAACUACAACGACCAUAUGUACAAUAACUUGU
Bombus pascuorum is the source of this 1736-nucleotide long non-coding RNA. RefSeq lists it as uncharacterized. Lineage: Eukaryota; Metazoa; Arthropoda; Insecta; Hymenoptera; Apidae. The record is from RefSeq and is a predicted model, not a curated record. The transcript has 4 exons.